This 1308-nucleotide long non-coding RNA is filed under the name Citrus x clementina. Its description in RNAcentral is "Citrus clementina (C. clementina) long non-coding RNA (CCLE_LNC000563)". The record is from RNAcentral. Lineage: Eukaryota; Viridiplantae; Streptophyta; Magnoliopsida; Sapindales; Rutaceae.
UUUAAUUAUUAAGACGGAUCAAUUGAUUCUGAGUUGGAUGUUGUCAUCUAUCCAACCAAAUUUGCUGACAACUGUGAUCCACUGCUCAACUGCAAAGGAGCUGCUGGAUACACUUACAAGUAUGUUUGUUGUUGUGCAAAUUUUAAUGUACUCGCAAGCGCACGAAUCUAUUGUAGAAUAGACUAAUGGAGACGAGUGUCGAUCCCACGAGGAGGUGGAUUUUAAUUGUGUAUAGAAUUAAUUUUGUAAAUGAGUGGUUGAAUUUAUGGUGGAAAUGAUUUGGAAUAUGCUAAGACUUAAAUUAAAAUGGCGAGAUUAAAUUCUAAAAUUGGAAUUGCAAUGGAGAGAAUAAAUUGAAGAGAAAAUCUAUUAAAUUGACGUACUUGGGUAUUCGGAUCCGUAUCAACAUGCAUCAUGGGCUAAAUAUUCCUUAUUAAUACCAAUUAAAUCAUGAGGGGGAAAUCCACACCUCAUGAACCACGCUCUAAUCAAUAUGGUGCUAAGGGCUUAUCGUGCCAAAUAAUAAUAACCUUAUACUAGAGAGCCGGUGUAACCAAGGCGGUAUCUAGACAAGACUAUUAUUAUUUGUCGACGAGAAGUCAAAACAUCCACAAAAAUUAGAGGGGAAGAGAAAAUAAAUUUACCAAAUUAAGCCCAUGACACAUGUUGAGACUUCACCUUCAACCCAAGCUUGAAAGGAGAUUAGCUACUCAUAAUUGAACUAGGGGUAAAAUGAGAAUUUAUUAAAAUACGAAGAAAAUACAAGAUGGAGAAGGAAUUACAGAAAAUGGAGUCCAAAAAUGGAUUCAGAGAUAUCAAAUUAGGGGGGGAGGCCCCUUUUUUAUAGAUACAUGGAGUAAAUCAUGUCCAUCGGAUUAAAAACAGUUUGGACGCUCAAGAUUGCGCCACGUCAUCAGUCAACAGUCCACGGUUUGACCACGCGGAUGAACAAUAACACGGUUUGACCUGGAUGAACAGUAACACGGGUUGGUUGAAAAUAAUCAUGCGUGAUGCAUGCACCGUACGUGAGAUUUUUCGUCCACUGAUAUGCUGCCACGUCACCAUCAACAGUACAUAAGAAUUUUAGCCCAACAGGAUCGUGACACCUCAUCAGUCAAUGCCACAUCAUCGGUCAAUGCCACGUCAUCAUCCGUCUAUGUAAACAGUGUCUUGAACAGUAACGUAUACAGUACCGUACACGUGAAUAGUACCGUACAUGUGAAUAGUGCCAUUUUUCCUUUUAUGCUCCUCCUAAGGUUUUCUACCGUCCUGAGUUCAAAAGUGAUGUCUGUUUUGCCGUCUGAUUUC